This 66-nucleotide transfer RNA is filed under the name Hishimonus phycitis. RNAcentral describes it as "tRNA-Leu". The record is from RNAcentral. Lineage: Eukaryota; Metazoa; Arthropoda; Insecta; Hemiptera; Cicadellidae.
GGUGAUUUGGCAGAUUAGUGCAUUAAAUUUAGAUUUUAAAAAAGUGGUUUAUUUUCACAUUCACUA